Molecule: non-coding RNA, 26 nt
Filed under: Rattus norvegicus (Norway rat)
Lineage: Eukaryota; Metazoa; Chordata; Mammalia; Rodentia; Muridae
Source: RNAcentral
CAAUUGGUGGGCUUUUCCCUAAGGAA